AGCAGCCGCGGUAAUUCCAGCUCCAAUAGCGUAUAUUAAAGUUGUUGCAGUUAAAAAGCUCGUAGUUGAACUUCGGGAUUUACCCAUUGGUCAGGCUUAACUGUCUGUACUGGUGUGAUGAAUUCCUACCUUCUGAGGAAUCUCCAUGCCAUUCACUUGGUGUGGUGGGGAAUCAGGACUGUUACUUUGAAAAAUUAGAGUGUUUAAAGCAGGCUAACGUCUGAAUACAUUAGCAUGGAAUAAUAGAAUAGGACGGUUUGGUUCUAUUUUGUUGGUUUCUAGGAUCACCGUAAUGAUUAAUAGGGAUAGUUGGGGGCAUUAGUAUUCAAUUGUCAGAGGUGAAAUUCUUGGAUUUAUUGAAGACUAACUACUGCGAAAGCAUUUGCCAAGGAUGUUUUCAUUAAUCAAGAACGAAAGUUAGGGGAUCGAAGACGAUCAGAUACCGUCGUAGUCUUAACCAUAAACUAUGCCGACUAGGGAUCGGACGAAGUUAAUUUUUAAAUGAC
This 506-nucleotide small RNA is filed under the name uncultured Diversispora. RNAcentral's name for it is "SSU rRNA". It matches the Rfam family "Eukaryotic small subunit ribosomal RNA", at positions 569 to 1075 of the family's 1831-position model. Lineage: Eukaryota; Fungi; Glomeromycota; Glomeromycetes; Diversisporales; Diversisporaceae. The record is from RNAcentral.